UGUUGUGUUUCAAAUGACAGGGGACAUGAGUUUUUUAAUCUGGCAGUUUAAACUUUUGCCCUCCUUCAUUACAUAACG
Bos taurus (domestic cattle) is the source of this 78-nucleotide microRNA precursor. Lineage: Eukaryota; Metazoa; Chordata; Mammalia; Artiodactyla; Bovidae. The record is from Ensembl.